This 753-nucleotide long non-coding RNA is filed under the name Homo sapiens (human). Its description in RNAcentral is "HSALNT0051530". The record is from RNAcentral. Lineage: Eukaryota; Metazoa; Chordata; Mammalia; Primates; Hominidae.
AAAAAAAACACUCAAAAUGAAUCAUCCCAAAGUUCUAGCAACCAGGAAACAGACACAGUAAGAUGAGUAAAAACAAGAAAUUGGUGCAAGGUUUGAAAGGCAGAAAGGAGGCAGCAGCUGUGACUGGAGAGCGCUACAGUGUAAGGUGGUGAGAGACAGCUGCAGAGGCGCUGGUGGGUUGGCUUUCAUCUUCCGUCUUUCCUGCUGCAUGCCUGGUGCUUCUUCCUGCCAGCUUUACUGACCAACAGCAACUCCAACCCCAUUACCGAUGCUCGGCUGCAAGCUCAGAGAAUGAAUGGGUUCACACAGCAACCCUGUCAAAGAGGUACUAUGAUCCAGAUUUCACAAACCAGAAUAUAAUUAUUAAGUAACUUCUCGGAGAUCACAGUGGAGGAACUAAGAUUCAAAUUGUCUUCUGACCAGAGCUGGGCUCUGAAACCACUCCAAGAAUUGAUCAUCAGCCUUAAACAAUCAGUUUUCUUUCCUUGUAAUAAACUGAGUUACUCAUCUAAGAAUGUCAACUUUGUCUUACUACCACUUGACUCAGUUAUUUUUUUCCCAAACAAUAGAAAUCCAGAGCCCAAACUGUAGAAAUUGGCAAUUUCCUUAUUUAAAAACUACUGUCCAUAACAAAAAGUCUAUUAACAAUACCCCAAAGCAGUUAAGAUUUCUACCUCAUAUAAAAUCAUAAACAUUUUAAUUCAAAAUGUUGACAUUUAGAAGAAAAACUACAUAAAAGCAAAUGGAUUUGAA